AGUGAACGCUGGCGGUAGGCCUAACACAUGCAAGUCGAACGGCAGCACAGUAAGAGCUUGCUCUUACGGGUGGCGAGUGGCGGACGGGUGAGGAAUACAUCGGAAUCUACUUUUUCGUGGGGGAUAACGUAGGGAAACUUACGCUAAUACCGCAUACGACCUACGGGUGAAAGCAGGGGAUCUUCGGACCUUGCGGGAUUGAAUGCGCCGAUGUCGGAUUAGCUAGUUGGCGGGGUAAAGGCCCACCAAGGCGACGAUCCGUAGCUGGUCUGAGAGGAUGAUCAGCCACACUGGAACUGAGACACGGUCCAGACUCCUACGGGAGGCAGCAGUGGGGAAUAUUGGACAAUGGGCGCAAGCCUGAUCCAGCCAUACCGCGUGGGUGAAGAAGGCCUUCGGGUUGUAAAGCCCUUUUGUUGGGAAAGAAAAGCAGCAGGUUAAUACCCCGCUGUUCUGACGGUACCCAAAGAAUAAGCACCGGCUAACUUCGUG
This 492-nucleotide ribosomal RNA is filed under the name uncultured bacterium. Its description in RNAcentral is "partial 16S ribosomal RNA". It matches the Rfam family "Bacterial small subunit ribosomal RNA", at positions 29 to 507 of the family's 1533-position model. The record is from RNAcentral.